GGGCGCAAGCCUGAUCCAGCCAUGCCGCGUGAGUGAUGAAGGCCUUAGGGUCGUAAAGCUCUUUCGCCAGAGAWGAUAAUGACWGUAUCUGGUAAAGAAACCCCGGCUAACUCCGUGCCAGCAGCCGCGGUAAUACGGAGGGGGUUAGCGUUGUUCGGAAUUACUGGGCGUAAAGCGCRCGUAGGCGGNNNNNNNNNNNNNAGGUGAAAUCCCAGGGCUCAACCCUGGAACUGCCUUUAAUACUGGKAGUCUUGAGUUCGAGAGAGGUGAGUGGAAUUCCGAGUGUAGAGGUGAAAUUCGUAGAUAUUCGGAGGAACACCAGUGGCGAAGGCGGCUCACUGGCUCGAUACUGACGCUGA
RNAcentral lists this ribosomal RNA (359 nucleotides) under uncultured bacterium. RNAcentral describes it as "partial 16S ribosomal RNA". It matches the Rfam family "Bacterial small subunit ribosomal RNA", at positions 373 to 749 of the family's 1533-position model. The record is from RNAcentral.